GUCUUAUUGAGAAUAAUUUUAAGUCAAUCUGCCCAAUGAGUGAUUAAAUGGCUGCAGUAUAAUUGACUGUACAAAGGUAGCAUAAUCAGUUGAUUUUUAAUUGAAAUCUGGAAUGAAAGGAUUAAUGAAAUAUAUACUGUCUCAUAUUUAUUAUAUGAAUUUAAAAUUUUAAUUAAAAUGUUAAAAUUUAUUUAUGGGACGAUAAGACCCUAUAGAAUUUUAUAUUAAAUUAUUUUUAUAUUUAAUAUGAAAUUUAAUUUAAUAUUUAAUUGGGAGAAUUAUUAAAUUUAAUAAAUUUUAAUUUAUGAAAACUUAAAUUAAAGAAUAAAUAUUGAUCUUGAAUUUUAAAUUAUUAGAAUAAAUUACCUUAGGGAUAACAGCGUAAUAUUUUUUUAUAGGUCAUAUAGAAAAAAAUGAUUGCGACCUCGAUGUUGAAUUAAGAUAAAUUUUAAAUGCAGAAGUUUAAUAAUUAAGUCUGUUCGACUUUUAAUAUCUUACAUGAUUUGAGUUCAAAUCGACGUAAGU
This 525-nucleotide ribosomal RNA is filed under the name Paratrigona lineatifrons. RNAcentral's name for it is "partial 16S ribosomal RNA". The stretch from base 373 to 525 matches the Rfam family "Bacterial large subunit ribosomal RNA", at positions 2473 to 2626 of the family's 2925-position model. Lineage: Eukaryota; Metazoa; Arthropoda; Insecta; Hymenoptera; Apidae. The record is from RNAcentral.